RNAcentral lists this signal recognition particle RNA (97 nucleotides) under bacterium. RNAcentral describes it as "signal recognition particle sRNA small type". It matches the Rfam family "Bacterial small signal recognition particle RNA". From Rfam's summary of the family: The signal recognition particle (SRP) is a universally conserved ribonucleoprotein involved in the co-translational targeting of proteins to membranes. RNAcentral also lists the same sequence under 1 other name. The record is from RNAcentral.
UUCCGGGGUCCGGGCGACUGGCGGCCCGUGACCUGGUCAGGCCUUGACGGGAGCAGCCAACUCGGCCCCCGUUGGUGUGCUUCGGGCUCCGGUCUUU